This 468-nucleotide ribosomal RNA is filed under the name uncultured bacterium. Its description in RNAcentral is "partial 16S ribosomal RNA". It matches the Rfam family "Bacterial small subunit ribosomal RNA", at positions 28 to 507 of the family's 1533-position model. The record is from RNAcentral.
GACGAACGCUGGCGGCGUGCUUAACACAUGCAAGUCGAACGGAAAGGCCCUGCUUUUGUGGGGUGCUCGAGUGGCGAACUGGUGAGUAACACGUGAGUAACCUGCCCUUGACUUUGGGAUAACUUCAUGAAACUGGGGCUAAUACCGGAUAGGAGCUCCUGCUGCAUGGUGGGGGUUGGAAAGUUUCGGCGGUUGGGGAUGGACUCGCGGCUUAUCAGCUUGUUGGUGGGGUAGUGGCUUACCAAGGCUUUGACGGGUAGCCGGCCUGAGAGGGUGACCGGCCACAUUGGGACUGAGAUACGGCCCAGACUACUACGGGAGGCAGAAGUGGGGAAUAUUGCACAAUGGGCGGAAGCCUGAUGCAGCAACGCCGCGUGCGGGAUGACGGCAUUCGGGUUGUAAACCGCUUUCGCCUGUGACGAAGCGUGAGUGACGGUAAUGGGUAAAGAAGCACCGGCUAACUACGUG